RNAcentral lists this ribosomal RNA (489 nucleotides) under uncultured bacterium. RNAcentral's name for it is "bacterial SSU rRNA". It matches the Rfam family "Bacterial small subunit ribosomal RNA", at positions 28 to 507 of the family's 1533-position model. The record is from RNAcentral.
GAUGAACGCUAGCGAUAGGCCUAACACAUGCAAGUCGAGGGGCAUCACAUGAAGUAGCAAUACGGAUGGUGGCGACCGGCGCACGGGUGAGUAACACGUAUGCAACCUGCCUUCAACAAGGGGAUAACCCGUUGAAAGACGGACUAAUACCCUAUAACACAGGGGUCCCGCAUGGGAAUAUUUGUUAAAGGACAACCGGUUGAAGAUGGGCAUGCGUUCCAUUAGCUAGUUGGCGGGGUAACGGCCCACCAAGGCAACGAUGGAUAGGGGAACUGAGAGGUUUAUCCCCCACACUGGUACUGAGACACGGACCAGACUCCUACGGGAGGCAGCAGUGAGGAAUAUUGGUCAAUGGACGCAAGUCUGAACCAGCCACGUCGCGUGAAGGAAGACGGCCCUACGGGUUGUAAACUUCUUUUAUACGGGAAUAAAGUGCCCCACGCGUGGGGUUUUGCAUGUACCGUAUGAAUAGGAUCGGCUAACUCCGUG